This 74-nucleotide transfer RNA is filed under the name Staphylococcus aureus. RNAcentral's name for it is "tRNA-Cys(gca)". It matches the Rfam family "tRNA". Rfam says of the family: Transfer RNA (tRNA) molecules are approximately 80 nucleotides in length. Their secondary structure includes four short double-helical elements and three loops (D, anti-codon, and T loops). Further hydrogen bonds mediate the characteristic L-shaped molecular structure. tRNAs have two regions of fundamental functional importance: the anti-codon, which is responsible for specific mRNA codon recognition, and the 3' end, to which the tRNAs corresponding amino acid is attached (by aminoacyl-tRNA synthetases). tRNAs cope with the degeneracy of the genetic code in two manners: having more than one tRNA (with a specific anti-codon) for a particular amino acid; and 'wobble' base-pairing, i.e. permitting non-standard base-pairing at the 3rd anti-codon position. Lineage: Bacteria; Bacillati; Bacillota; Bacilli; Caryophanales; Staphylococcaceae. The record is from RNAcentral.
GGCGGGAUAGCCAAGGGGGAAGGCAGAGGUCUGCAAAACCUUUAUCACCGGUUCAAAUCCGGUUGCCGCCUCCA